UACCUUUUGUAUAAUGGGUCAGCGACUUAUAUUCUGUAGCAAGGUUAACCGUAUAGGGGAGCCGGAGGGAAACCGAGUCUUAACCGGGCGUUAAGUUGCAGGGUAUAGACCCGAAACCCGGUGAUCUAGCCAUGGGCAGGUUGAAGGUUGGGUAACACUAACUGGAGGACCGAACCGACUAAUGUUGAAAAAUUAGCGGAUGACCUGUGGCUGGGGGUGAAAGGCCAAUCAAACCGGGAGAUAGCUGGUUCUCCCCGAAAGCUAUUUAGGUAGCGCCUCGUGAAUUCAUCUCCGGGGGUAGAGCACUGUUUCGGCUAGGGGGCCAUCCCGGCUUACCAACCCGAUGCAAACUGCGAAUACCGGAGAAUGUUAUCACGGGAGACACACGGCGGGUGCUAACGUCCGUCGUGAAGAGGGAAACAACCCAGACCGCCAGCUAAGGUCCCAAAGUCAUGGUUAAGUGGGAAACGAUGUGGGAAGGCCCAGACAGCCAGGAUGUUGGCUUAGAAGCAGCCAUCAUUUAAAGAAAGCGUAAUAGCUCACUGGUCGAGUCGGCCUGCGCGGAAGAUGUAACGGGGCUAAACCAU
RNAcentral lists this ribosomal RNA (587 nucleotides) under Salmonella enterica. Its description in RNAcentral is "partial 23S ribosomal RNA". It matches the Rfam family "Bacterial large subunit ribosomal RNA", at positions 602 to 1190 of the family's 2925-position model. Lineage: Bacteria; Pseudomonadati; Pseudomonadota; Gammaproteobacteria; Enterobacterales; Enterobacteriaceae. RNAcentral also lists the same sequence under 1 other name. The record is from RNAcentral.